Molecule: ribosomal RNA, 458 nt
Filed under: uncultured bacterium
Lineage: Bacteria
Description: partial 16S ribosomal RNA
Rfam family: Bacterial small subunit ribosomal RNA
Source: RNAcentral
CCUACGGGAGGCUGCAGUGGGGAAUAUUGCACAAUGGGGGAAACCCUGAUGCAGCGACGCCGCGUGAGUGAAGAAGUAUUUCGGUAUGUAAAGCUCUAUCAGACGGGAAGAAAUAGCGACCUUUGGGUCGCCAGACGGUACCUGAUUGAUAAGCCCCGGCUAAUUACGUGCCAGCAGCCGCGGUAAUACGUAGGGGGCAAGCGUUAACCGGAUUUACUGGGUGUAAAGGGAGCGUAUACGGCAGCGCAAGUCUGAAGUGAAAUGCCGGGGCUUAAACCCUGAACUGCGUUGGAAACUGUGCAGCUAGAGUGCAGUAGAGGUAAGUGGAAUUCCAAGUGUAGCGGUGAAAUGCGUAGAUAUUAGGAGGAACACCAGUGGCGAAGGCGGCUUACUGGACUGUAACUGACGUUGAGGGUCGAAAGCGUGGGGAGCAAACAGGAUUAGAUACCCCUGUAGUC